RNAcentral lists this long non-coding RNA (5689 nucleotides) under Sus scrofa (pig). RNAcentral's name for it is "lncRNA (ENSSSCG00000053805.1)". Lineage: Eukaryota; Metazoa; Chordata; Mammalia; Artiodactyla; Suidae. The record is from RNAcentral.
AGAACAGCAGGCGGCGAGGCCGGGGCGGGCGCAGAGCAGAGGGGGGCCCGGGGGAGGCGGGGGCGGAAUCUGCCCAACUCCCGAGCCUGGCUCCGAGGGAGACACGGAAUGCAGGCUGGAGAGCAGCCGGCGGGGGCCGCGUUCCCAGCAGAGUUGGGGGAGGCGGAGGUGCCCAGGUCCCCGGGCAUCAACUAUUGUUUGCGCGCUCGGGUCCCCGCUCGCGCCGCCUCCGAUGUUCAGCGCCCCUCAUCCCGCCUGCCUGCCCCCAAGAGAAAGCGCUGAGGGGGCGGCCGACGCGGGAAGCAAUUGCUGGAUGACUGGAGGGCCGGAGUUCCGAGGUGGGCGCCGAGUGGGGGAGGGGACAGGUAACUACAGCGGGGGGCAGAAAGGCCCAGGAGGAUCGGUGGGGGGAGGAAAUGGGGAGGAAGCCACGGAGGCGGGAGAGGAUGAAAUGACAGAGGGGGCGGCCUCCGAAACCCAGACCUGGCCCUCCCUGGGGACCCUCCUCCCGGGGACUCAGUGCCGCUCUGACUUUUGCUCACUUGCUCACGCACACAGCGAACUCGCUCACAAAGUUGCCGGCGGUGGCGGUGCCGCACUCGCCCUUCCCCUCCCCGCCUCCCUACCACCCCGCCCCAUUCCUUCCCCUCCUUCAUUCCCUCCCCUUUCCCCAAGUCUCGGGUGAGAUCACCGAUGUGCUGCUCAGUGCUGCGCUCAAAUCUCGCGAGAGAAGCGGCUCAGCCCAGAUGGCGGGGGAAGUGGAAGGAGUUGGAGGAAGGGGGUGGGGGGAACCGCGGAACUUAGUCUCUUAGUUGCUAUGACGACGGCAAAGCCCUGGAUUCCUGUCUCCUGCGGAGAGCCGAGGCAGCAAACGUGGGUGCAGUUUCCAGCCUCCCCUCUCCCUAGCCUGACGCCCUAAUGGUGGAGAAAGCAAGGGCUAGAAGCGGGAAAAGGAGUUUUAAACUCUUUGAGAGGGAUUUUGCAGAAGAACAGCGUCACGCUAUCUGGCUAAAUUUGGCAAAUGAAGCUAAUUGUUUUUUAAGGAUUCUGGGACAGAUUACUGCCACAGAAGCCAGCGCAUGUGUGAACCCCCAGUUUCCUACAUAUAUCUAGUUUUUCAGCCUUCCACUCUAAUCUCAUCACCCAAACCCCACCAACUCCUUAUGCUACCUCUCACUUCCCCCCCUCCCCCGCUCCCCAUCCCCACCGCCACCAACAAACUGGGCUCUUGAAGGAUCUGUCUUACCCAUCUUUGUAUUCUCAGAGCCUCCACAAGCUUGAUACAUAGUAGGUGUUUACUUAAUGUCUGUUGGGGGAAAUGAACGUAACAAGCUGCUUGUCCUCAGAGGUACUUGGCUUUCACCCUACCCUGGAAAGUACUUCAUUUUAGAUUAAAAGUUUCUGCUCCACAGUUAUGGUUUCGACUUUGUUAAACUAUCCUCCCAUUUCUGUUCACACCGAAUUAUCUGUUUUUAAAUAAUUAUAAUCCUCUGUUCUCUUUCUCCAUCUUUGUCUCAUGAAACAAAACUUCUUCAUACCUACUCCAAAAUGAGGAUGAAGAUGAAAUCUCAUCCUGUUUCUUCUUUUAAUUGUAGAAAUUUUCUUUGGGGGUUUUAUAUAUCACUGCCUAAAUAAAGUGGAUACUGUGAAUAGAGUUUUAAAAAAGCUUAAACUUUUGAUAUCAAAAUGAGUCAGUAAAAAUAGUUUCCAUGUUAUGUGAAUUAUACCAAUUUUUAAAAAGAUGCCAUCCCUAUUUACAUAAAUAUGGGAAAACCAUUAUUUAAAUCAAUCUCUUGGAACCAGAAACCUUAAAAUAUACACCAAGAUUCUUUUAGGUUACAUGCAAGUUUAAAUACUAUGUCAGUGAAAACCUAAUGAUACAGUGAUAAAAAGCACUGGACAAAGUCUGGAAACUAGGGUGUGAGUUUUUGUUGUCACUAAUAAUUGAGUCUCCUUGAGAAUGUAUUUAAUCUUUCUCUCGGAGUCUUCAUCUAUAAAACGAGGGGUAGCACACAUGUUAGGUCAUUGCAGCUUUAAAAUUCUAUGGCUCUUAGACCUAGACAAAUUUCUGAUAAAUAACAGAUAUUUUUCUUUUACAUCAAACAGACUUUUUUAAUGAGUGUUUCAUUUUAUAGUAGGUCAGUUUUAUAAAGUUCAGCUACGUGUUGACAAGCUGCUCUUAAAGUUCUCUUGUCUCAACUAUAAAAACAACAAAAAUAUUUACCAUGUUACAGUAAUUUCAAAGGGAAUCCAUUGUUCUUAUUUGCUUUUAUACUAACUCAAAACAGAUUUCUUGUUAUUUAAUAAAUAUGCUAACCCAAACCAAAGACCCAAACUUAAUACAUCCACACUCCCACUAAAAUAACCCUGAGAAGGAGGGAGGGAAGGACAGGAAGAAGGAAGGAGCUAGGAGGGAAGGAAAGAAGGGUGGGCCUUAAAUCCAGAGACUGGUGUUUUUUGUUUUGUUUUGUUUUUUAACUUAUUUAUUUAUUUUAUGGCUGUACCUGAGGCAUAUGGAAAUUCCCAGGCUGGGGACUGAACUCGCAGCUCCGCAUCCCCCUGAGCCACUGCAGUUGGAUUCUUAACCCACUGCACCACAGCAGGAACUCCUCCACAGGUAUUUUUAAUAUCAAAUUUUUACAAAGAAACACAAUAGAGCAUCACCAUUAUCAGUCCUGUUGAUCUGUUUUAAGGAAUUAUCUUCCAUACACAGCACACUACUGUCAAUGGGUUGUUAUUCAUUCGCCCCGGCUCAACUUUUUAACAUAGUUUUGCCCUUAAAGGAUAGCUGCCUAACUGUAUCUGCCAACACAGUACAAUUUCAGGGCCACUUGUUUUAUGACUCUUGUUUUAACCAUUUGAUACAUUUGAAAUAACUGCCCCAGUGUUUCUUAAGAGGCUCAGGAGAUGGGUCUUGGCGUCAAAUUACAAAGAGAAUUUCCCCAUCUUCAGGCAGAGCAGACUACUAAAGAUUGUUCUAGGGACCUAAAACUGCUCCCUUCGAGAUCCUGGACCUCCCCGCACCUCCCCUCCCUCCCUCCCCCCAUGGUGGCAGAACUUUCACCAAGGUUUCUGAAGGAAAUGAAAGGCAAAAUUUACCAAAGUUACUCUGCAUGGUUCUCUGGGUCAGGCAGCCUGCAUCCUCUCUGACCUUCCUGGGGUUUCCAAAUAGCAAACAAGGGAUGACAGAAGAAGGAAGGGGGGGAUAGAGAGUCAUCAAGCACAGAUCAGAUCUCAACCACUUCCUGCCCACUCCCUCUACUGGCUCUCCAGCGCCCUCUGCCCAGCCCCCUCCCCCACAUACUCCAGGGAUGCGUAACCUUUCCUGUGAUAAGAACUCCCUCUCUUUUGAUUUCUUUGUUCUUUUUCCCCCCAGAUCCUUUUCCCAUAUUGAUCAUCACAGAAUAUACAACAGUUCCCCAUUGGCCAAUCACGCCGUAAGCCACCACUGUGCCAAUGCCAAUCCCGCCCCUCCCUUUCCCUUCCUAGUUGGUUAAAGCACAAUUGUAUUCAUUUCUCUCUGGUUAUUAUUCACGUCUACUCACCAACACACCUGAACAUAUCAAAUAUGGAAUGAAUUUUGACACCCAGGUCUACCAAGCAAGGAAAAUACAUGUGUGUGUGUAUGUAAAUAUAUAUAUACAUGUUAGGAGUUCCUGCUGUGACACAGGAGGACCGGUGGCGGAGUCUCUGAAGUGCUGGAACACAGAUCCAUCCCCAGCCCAGCACAGCGGGUUAAGGAUGUGGCAAUUGCCGCUCAGAUCUAAUCCCUGGCCCUCCAUAUUCUGAAGGGAGGCCAAAAAAGAAAAAAAGUAAUUAAUUAAUCAAAAUUAUAAACAUCAACUCAAAUUUUCAGGUUGUACAGUUAAAAUCUAGUUUACCCAGCCUAUUAUCAUCAGUUCAGUACUUCCAGUUACCAGCGCUCUAUCUCCAGGGCAUUACUAACAAUCAGAGAAAUGGCUCAACUAUAAAGAAGAAACCAAGAGCCCCCUAAAUCAUCCGAGAUUAAAUUAUAUCCAAUGCUGUUUCAAUGUUAAGGUUUUAUGAUUGUAGCCCUAUGUAAUAUAACUCCAUUUACCUGAAUGCUAGACUUCUUAGGACACCUCAUUCUCCCAUCUUCAUAACAGUAUUUAUGACAUGUUUAAACAUCAACUGCUUUAUAAUCAAUGAACAUUUCUCAGCCAACCUACUACUUCCUUGUCCACUCUCACUCUUUCAAAGGACUUUUUCAUAUCUUCUCCUUCACCACACCUCCUGCUUGUUACUCAGCUAAUGGUCAUGCUGCUUCAUUCACUGGUAAAAUAGAGGCCAUCAAAAGAGAACUUAGCACCCACUCCAUUGCGACCACUCAAUCUAUCAAUUCGCCUGCAUCUGCCUGCAAAUACUCUUGUGUUCCUGGCUCUGAGGCCAAGCUCUCAGUGCUCUUGGCCAAGAUUAACCUCUCCACCUGUGUACCAGUCCCAUCCCCUCUGACUCCAGGACGUUAAUUCAGCAACUGUCCCCUUUCUCUCACACAUUGGGAAAAUCUCCUCUAUGGAAUCAUUUCUGAGUGCUUACAAGCAUGCUGUAAGAUCUGCCUUGGUAACAAAGAAAACAUUUCCUAGAUUCCAUAUCUCUCUCUGCUUCACUUUACCAAUGGAAUCUUCAAAAGGUUUUUCCAGGCUUGUGUCUCUAAUUCCUCUCCUCCCACUCAUCCAUGAAUCCUUUCUGAGCAGCCCUUCACCCCCCACCGCUCCAGCAGCACAGGACUUCUCAGGGCCCCUAGUUACUCACUGCCUCAUUGCUACAGCCAGCAAUCAGUUACCCUCCUCCCCUCACCAGACCUCUAGCUACCGGGCAGAGGCUGAUCACUCCUUCUCUCUCUCCCUCUCUCUCUUUUGGCUGCACCCACAACAUAUGGAAGUUUCAGGGCCAAGGAUUGAAUCCCAGCCUCAGCUGUGACCUACUCCACAGCUGAGGCAAUGCUGGAUCCUUAACCCACUGCACCAGACCAGGGAUGAAACCAACAAUGUCAGAGAUAAUGCUGGAUCCUUAACCUGCCGUGCCACGGCAGGAACUCCUGUCACUCUUUGAAACACUUUCCUCAUGGGACUUCUGGGUUAAAAGUUUGUCUUGGUUCUUCUUCUACCUUUCUGGCCUCCUCAGUAGCAAAUCUCUAAGUCCGUGGACGCCUUCUUUUUGUGGUCUCUUAAUCCAUGGCAGUCCCACCAGUCUGACAGCUUAAAUGCCAUCCAUCUACUGCCACCCAUCCAAAUUUACUUCUCCAGUCCAGAUGCCUCCCCAAACUCCAGACUCACACAUCCAGCUCUGACUCAACAUCUCCACUGGUUGUGCAAUUUGUAUCUCCUACAUCACACAUCUGACACUGGAAACUCUAGAUAUUCUGCCCCAAACCAGUGUCAUCCUUGACUCUUCAGUGUCUCUCAGAUCACACAUCCAGACUACCAGUGAAUUCUACUGCCUCUUCCUUCAAAAUAUGUGCAGAGGACUUCUUCCCAUUGUGGCUCAGCGGUAACGAACCAGACUAGUGUCAGUGAGGACUCGAUUCAAUUCCUGGCCUCGCUCAGUAAAGGAUCCAGCAUUGCCUUGAGCUGUGGUGUAGGUCACAGACUGGGCUCAGAUCUGGCAUUGCUGUGACUGUGGCGUAGGCCAGCACCUGCAGCUCCAAUUCGAUCCCUAGCCUGGGAAC